CUGUCCCUAUCUACUAUCUAGCGAAACCACAGCCAAGGGAACGGGCUUGGCCAAAUCAGCGGGGAAAGAAGACCCUGUUGAGCUUGACUCUAAUUUGACAUUGUGAAAAGACAUAGGGGGUGUAGGAUAGGUGGGAGCUUCGGCGCCGGUGAAAUACCACUACCCUUAUUGUUUUUUUACUUAUUCAAUGAAGCGGAGCUGGGUUUUACCGCCCAACUUCUAGUAUCAAGGUCCUUCGUGGGCCGAUCCGGGUUGAAGACAUUGUCAGGUGGGGAGUUUGGCUGGGGCGGCACAUCUGUUAAACCAUAACGCAGGUGUCCUAAGGGGGACUCAUGAAGAACAGAAAUCUUCAGUAGAGCAAAAGGGCAAAAGUCCCCUUGAUUUUGAUUUUCAGUGUGAAUACAAACCAUGAAAGUGUGGCCUAUCGAUCCUUUAGA
This 437-nucleotide ribosomal RNA is filed under the name Jilinga darjilingensis. RNAcentral's name for it is "partial large subunit ribosomal RNA". It matches the Rfam family "Eukaryotic large subunit ribosomal RNA", at positions 2339 to 2780 of the family's 3401-position model. Lineage: Eukaryota; Metazoa; Arthropoda; Insecta; Hemiptera; Cicadellidae. The record is from RNAcentral.